This 512-nucleotide ribosomal RNA is filed under the name Candida albicans. RNAcentral describes it as "eukaryotic LSU rRNA". The stretch from base 145 to 298 matches the Rfam family "5.8S ribosomal RNA". Lineage: Eukaryota; Fungi; Ascomycota; Pichiomycetes; Serinales; Debaryomycetaceae. The record is from RNAcentral.
GAGCCAUCUGAUUGCUUAUUGCACCACAUGUGUUUUUCUUUGAAACAAACUUGCUUUGGCGGUGGGCCCAGCCUGCCGCCAGAGGUCUAAACUUACAACCAAUUUUUUAUCAACUUGUCACACCAGAUUAUUACUAAUAGUCAAAACUUUCAACAACGGAUCUCUUGGUUCUCGCAUCGAUGAAGAACGCAGCGAAAUGCGAUACGUAAUAUGAAUUGCAGAUAUUCGUGAAUCAUCGAAUCUUUGAACGCACAUUGCGCCCUCUGGUAUUCCGGAGGGCAUGCCUGUUUGAGCGUCGUUUCUCCCUCAAACCGCUGGGUUUGGUGUUGAGCAAUACGACUUGGGUUUGCUUGAAAGACGGUAGUGGUAAGGCGGGAUCGCUUUGACAAUGGCUUAGGUCUAACCAAAAACAUUGCUUGCGGCGGUAACGUCCACCACGUAUAUCUUCAAACUUUGACCUCAAAUCAGGUAGGACUACCCGCUGAACUUAAGCAUAUCAAUAGGCGGAGGAA